CUGGCUCAGGACGAACGCUGGCGGCGCGCCUACCACAUGCAAGUCGAACGAAGUUUAAUUAUGAAUUCUUCGGAAGGAUUAAUGAAAGCUUAGUGGCGGACGGGUGAGUAACACGUGAGCAAUCUGCCUUACAGAGGGGGAUAGCGAUUAGAAAUGGUCGAUAAUACCCUAUGAUGCACAUUUUUCGCAUGAGAUUUGUGUUAAAAGAAUUUCGCUGUAAGAUGAGCUCGCGCCUGAUUAGACAGUUGGCGGGGUAAUGGCCCACCAAAUCUACGAUCAGUAGCCGAACUGAGAGGUUGAUCGGCCACAUUGGGACUGAGACACGGCCCAGACUCCUACGGGAGGCAGCAGUGAGGGAUAUUGCACAAUGGGGGAAACCCUGAUUGCAGCGACGUCGCGUGAGGGAAGAAGGUUUUUGGAUUGUAAACCUCUGUUUUUGAAGAAGAUGAUGACGGUAUUCAAAGAGAAAGCUCCGGCUAACUACGUGCCAGCAGCAGC
This 498-nucleotide ribosomal RNA is filed under the name uncultured bacterium. Its description in RNAcentral is "bacterial SSU rRNA". It matches the Rfam family "Bacterial small subunit ribosomal RNA", at positions 19 to 518 of the family's 1533-position model. The record is from RNAcentral.